CAGGACAGAAGGUCGAUAAUACAAAAUUUGGGAUCUACUGUCAUCGUAACCAGAACAAUGCCGUCUGUCCAGAUAUUGGUUGUCCUCAUGGUUGUGUGCAGCCUCGCAGCCGCAGAGUACCCAAUAGACUCCAACAGUCCGCAAGCACUCAAGCUAAUGUUAGACGGUGAGUGUCACUGUACAUGGUAUUGUAACCCCGACCAAUGCGAAGCAGGAAUUACCUAUCGUCGUUGUACUUGGGGUGCGGUAUAUUGCUGUAGUCGUUCGAAAUAUCCGUGUGGUAUACAAUAUUCUUGGGGGAAAUGAAUGGCCUUGACAAAGAUAUGGGUAAGACUUUGUAUAUACGCUUGUGUUUUGAACUUACGUUGUGACUAACUAAUCAUCUGUUUUUUCUACUAAUUGAUAUAAAUUAAGAUUACCCAUUUUCGAGCUCCCCUUGUCGUUAACCCAUUUAUGCCUAGUGGACUCUCCCAUCCUUCUAAAUUGGAUCAAUUUAUUUCCAAAAUUAGGGAUGUCUAGUAUACUUAUUUCUAUAUAUAGAAUAUUUCUCACAGAAAUUCCUUUAAACAAACACCGCAGACCCUAAUGAGACGCCGCAAUAUGCGGCAUCUCAUCUGGGUCUACGCUGUUUGCCAAGGCCUUUUUUCUAGAUGCUAGGCAUAAAUGGGUUAAAAAUAUGCGACUCUUUGUACAAACGUAUUUUAUAAGCCAUCUCGUUUCUAAUUCUCUUCGGUUAAAUUACUCAGUUUGUUAUUCAAUUAACUUCGAAAAUUGAAAUCUCUUUUCACUAUAACGCUUCUUUGUGUGUAUAUUCGCAACAAUAUGAGUCGUGUUCUGAGAAAACUGUGCAUAAUGCAUGUGCGUACAGUGUCAUCCCAGAUUAGCCUAUUCAGUCCGCACAGGCUAAUCAGGGUGGAACACAUUCCGCCUGAACUUGAUUUUCGGUAAGGAGGAACUUCCUUGAAACUAAAAAUACCAUUAAAGCGGAAAGUGUCGUCUCAGAUUCACCUGUGCGGACUGCACAGGCUAAUCUGGGACGACACUUUACGCACAUGCAUUAAGCCCAGUUUUCUCAGAACACGACACAUAUAUUAAACAUAAUGGGUGAUUCAUUGUAAGUAAACGAGUAUGUUGUUAUCACGUUUCUUUAUUUUCUGUCAGAUAGCCGGGUGGAAUACUACUGUUUCAAUGUUUGCCAAAGACAUAUUUGCUGAUCUUGCCAAUAAAUUGAAACUGAAACUAUUGUUUUAGUCAAAUAAAUAGACUUGAAACUUG
Long non-coding RNA from Dreissena polymorpha, 1275 nucleotides. RefSeq lists it as uncharacterized. The record is from RefSeq and is a predicted model, not a curated record. Lineage: Eukaryota; Metazoa; Mollusca; Bivalvia; Myida; Dreissenidae. The transcript has 3 exons.